GGGUUGUGAGGUUAAGCGACUAAGCGUACACGGUGGAUGCCCUGGCAGUCAGAGGCGAUGAAGGACGUGCUAAUCUGCGAAAAGCGUCGGUAAGGUGAUAUGAACCGUUAUAACCGGCGAUGUCCGAAUGGGGAAACCCAGUGCAAUUCGUUGCACUAUCGUUAACUGAAUACAUAGGUUAACGAGGCGAACCGGGGGAACUGAAACAUCUAAGUACCCCGAGGAAAAGAAAUCAACCGAGAUUCCCCCAGUAGCGGCGAGCGAACGGGGAGCAGCCCAGAGUCUGAAUCAGCUUGUGUGUUAGUGGAACGGUCUGGAAAGUCCGACGGUACAGGGUGAUAGUCCCGUACACCAAAAUGCACAGGCUGUGAACUCGAAGAGUAGGGCGGGACACGUGGUAUCCUGUCUGAAUAUGGGGGGACCAUCCUCCAAGGCUAAAUACUCCUGACUGACCGAUAGUGAACCAGUACCGUGAGGGAAAGGCGAAAAGAACCCCGGCGAGGGGAGUGAAAAAGAACCUGAAACCGUGUACGUACAAGCAGUGGGAGCACCUUCGGGUGUGACUGCGUACCUUUUGUAUAAUGGGUCAGCGACUUAUAUUCUGUAGCAAGGUUAACCGUAUAGGGGAGCCGCAGGGAAACCGAGUCUUAACUGGGCGUUAAGUUGCAGGGUAUAGACCCGAAACCCGGUGAUCUAGCCAUGGGCAGGUUGAAGGUUGGGUAACACUAACUGGAGGACCGAACCGACUAAUGUUGAAAAAUUAGCGGAUGACUUGUGGCUGGGGGUGAAAGGCCAAUCAAACCGGGAGAUAGCUGGUUCUCCCCGAAAGCUAUUUAGGUAGCGCCUCGUGAACUCAUCUUCGGGGGUAGAGCACUGUUUCGGCUAGGGGGUCAUCCCGACUUACCAACCCGAUGCAAACUACGAAUACCGAAGAAUGUUAUCACGGGAGACACACGGCGGGUGCUAACGUCCGUCGUGAAGAGGGAAACAACCCAGACCGCCAGCUAAGGUCCCAAAGUCAUGGUUAAGUGGGAAACGAUGUGGGAAGGCACAGACAGCCAGGAUGUUGGCUUAGAAGCAGCCAUCAUUUAAAGAAAGCGUAAUAGCUCACUGGUCGAGUCGGCCUGCGCGGAAGAUGUAACGGGGCUAAACCAUGCACCGAAGCUGCGGCAGCGACACUAUGUGUUGUUGGGUAGGGGAGCGUUCUGUAAGCCUGCGAAGGUGUGCUGUGAGGCAUGCUGGAGGUAUCAGAAGUGCGAAUGCUGACAUAAGUAACGAUAAAGCGGGUGAAAAGCCCGCUCGCCGGAAGACCAAGGGUUCCUGUCCAACGUUAAUCGGGGCAGGGUGAGUCGACCCCUAAGGCGAGGCCGAAAGGCGUAGUCGAUGGGAAACAGGUUAAUAUUCCUGUACUUGGUGUUACUGCGAAGGGGGGACGGAGAAGGCUAUGUUAGCCGGGCGACGGUUGUCCCGGUUUAAGCAUGUAGGCUGAUUGUCCAGGCAAAUCCGGAUAAUCAAGGCUGAGGUGUGAUGACGAGGCACUACGGUGCUGAAGUAACAAAUGCCCUGCUUCCAGGAAAAGCCUCUAAGCAUCAGGUAACAUCAAAUCGUACCCCAAACCGACACAGGUGGUCAGGUAGAGAAUACCAAGGCGCUUGAGAGAACUCGGGUGAAGGAACUAGGCAAAAUGGUGCCGUAACUUCGGGAGAAGGCACGCUGGUGUGUAGGUGAAGUCCCUGCGGAUGGAGCUGAGACCAGUCGAAGAUACCAGCUGGCUGCAACUGUUUAUUAAAAACACAGCACUGUGCAAACACGAAAGUGGACGUAUACGGUGUGACGCCUGCCCGGUGCCGGAAGGUUAAUUGAUGGGGUUAUCCGUAAGGAGAAGCUCUUGAUCGAAGCCCCGGUAAACGGCGGCCGUAACUAUAACGGUCCUAAGGUAGCGAAAUUCCUUGUCGGGUAAGUUCCGACCUGCACGAAUGGCGUAAUGAUGGCCAGGCUGUCUCCACCCGAGACUCAGUGAAAUUGAACUCGCUGUGAAGAUGCAGUGUACCCGCGGCAAGACGGAAAGACCCCGUGAACCUUUACUAUAGCUUGACACUGAACAUUGAGCCUUGAUGUGUAGGAUAGGUGGGAGGCUUUGAAGCGUGGACGCCAGUCUGCGUGGAGCCAACCUUGAAAUACCACCCUUUAAUGUUUGAUGUUCUAACGUUGGCCCCUGACCGGGGUUGCGGACAGUGUCUGGUGGGUAGUUUGACUGGGGCGGUCUCCUCCCAAAGCGUAACGGAGGAGCACGAAGGUUAGCUAAUCCUGGUCGGACAUCAGGAGGUUAGUGCAAUGGCAUAAGCUAGCUUGACUGCGAGCGUGACGGCGCGAGCAGGUGCGAAAGCAGGUCAUAGUGAUCCGGUGGUUCUGAAUGGAAGGGCCAUCGCUCAACGGAUAAAAGGUACUCCGGGGAUAACAGGCUGAUACCGCCCAAGAGUUCAUAUCGACGGCGGUGUUUGGCACCUCGAUGUCGGCUCAUCACAUCCUGGGGCUGAAGUAGGUCCCAAGGGUAUGGCUGUUCGCCAUUUAAAGUGGUACGCGAGCUGGGUUUAGAACGUCGUGAGACAGUUCGGUCCCUAUCUGCCGUGGGCGCUGGAGAAUUGAGGGGGGCUGCUCCUAGUACGAGAGGACCGGAGUGGACGCAUCACUGGUGUUCGGGUUGUCAUGCCAAUGGCACUGCCCGGUAGCUAAAUGCGGAAGAGAUAAGUGCUGAAAGCAUCUAAGCACGAAACUUGCCCCGAGAUGAAUUCUCCCUGAGACUUUAAGUCUCCUGAAGGAACGUUGAAGACGACGACGUUGAUAGGCCGGGUGUGUAAGCGCAGCGAUGCGUUGAGCUAACCGGUACUAAUGAACCGUGAGGCUUAACCUUACAACGCCGAAG
RNAcentral lists this ribosomal RNA (2923 nucleotides) under Klebsiella pneumoniae. RNAcentral describes it as "23S ribosomal RNA". It matches the Rfam family "Bacterial large subunit ribosomal RNA". The record is from RNAcentral. Lineage: Bacteria; Pseudomonadati; Pseudomonadota; Gammaproteobacteria; Enterobacterales; Enterobacteriaceae.